UCCGUCUAUUUGCAUUCAAUUAUCGAAAGCACCAGUAGUCACUAUGUGCAUCUCAUUCUAGCACCAUUUUGCAUCCUCCAAAUGACUUUUGGAAAAAAGAGAUAGUCAUCGCAUAAGUCGAUUCGAAUCUACACGCUGUAGAUAUAGAAUAGGUUGCGACUGUGACGGUAUUUCUAUAAAUGUCAAAAUAACUCUCUCGAUGCCAAGUGACUAUUGUUGUUUUUAUAAUGUUAUUUCGUUUAUUUUCUAAAAUGCAUCGAGAUUGAGUAUUCCGCGUUCGCGAUUAUUUAUUGUCGACACGUAAAAUACCACGCAAUGUGCUUGCCCUACGCGAUUUAGAGAUAUAUCUUUACUCUUGAAAAUGUCAAAUUGUUUUUUAGUGUUUUGUAUGUAUUUUUAUUUCAAAACGCGGUUAUAACUCUUGCAUAUAGUGUAAAUGAGUGUUGUGUCUGUAUAUGAAAUGAUUUUAGAGUUAAUUAUAUGUGUUAAUGUUGUAAUAUUGCUCAGUGAAGUGUGUUGGUGAGGUUAGUUUUUCUUCCCGCUAUUAUGAGGUCCCUGUUCACAUAUCCUGGCUGCGGUUCGUGCCAGCUCAAUUUAUUUCUGGGAGGACAGGCGCCGGCCAGCUAAUACUCAACGGUUUUACAUUCUAUUUGAAAAAUAACCAAACCCAGGGCAAGAAGCAGUGGUAUUGUUCCGCAAGAGACACCCAGGGCUGCCGUGUUGACGUCAUCACAUACAAGGGUGUAGACGGUAUAGAUUAUAUAUCAAUAUUCCGUGGACGACAUAUACACGAACCUCCCCGUUUGCGGAAAUGUCGCGACGGCAGAUGUAUUAGAGAUUAUAAGUAUAGAUAAAAAUUAAAUUUUUACACAUUUUUUUUUAUUAUAUUUUAUUUUACAAAAAAAUGUGAUAUACUUACUUAUAAAUGAAAUUCAAGCAAUCGUUUUUAUUUUCUGUUUACUUACAAUGUUUUAGAAAAAGAUAAUGAAAUGUAAAUGUAGAUCUAAAUGACUAAUUUUAAAUAUGUUUUCUGUUUAUUUCUGUGCAAAAUUGUGCAAAUUGAUUCACCGUUUCACAGGUGAAUUAUAAGUAGCUGUGCGUUAUCA
Molecule: unclassified non-coding RNA, 1106 nt
Filed under: Helicoverpa zea (corn earworm)
Lineage: Eukaryota; Metazoa; Arthropoda; Insecta; Lepidoptera; Noctuidae
Description: uncharacterized LOC124634744, transcript variant X1
Source: RNAcentral